This 3429-nucleotide long non-coding RNA is filed under the name Marmota monax (woodchuck). Lineage: Eukaryota; Metazoa; Chordata; Mammalia; Rodentia; Sciuridae. The record is from RNAcentral.
UGCGACUUAAAACAUUUGGGGGUAUCUGGCAUCCUGUACCCACAUUAAAGGAAGGGGAGACAGUGGGUCAUUUCGUCAGCAUUUGAGUCAGACAGACCUAUUUUUUUUUUCAGACAGACCUAUUUUUGAAUCCUAUUUUUGCCACUAAACCUGAGUGCUCUCAAGCUAAUUAUCUCUCUGACUCUCUGUUUUUUUACAUGUACAGUCAGGAUUCCCCUGUCUAUUUUUUGUUAACUUUUAAAAAAAAAAAGGUAGUAUGAAACAAAUGCUUAGCAUAGUAUCUUACACCUAGUAGCUGCAAAAUAAAUGGCAACUAAUAGAACAAUAACAAUUAUAAUAAUUGCCCUUUCACACCUCCAACCCUCAAUUUCUACCUCUACAAGAUGAAUUAUUAUGAGGAUUAAGGGAUUGUGUAGAGGGUGGUUUAUGGUAGGUACUCUCAUAUUCUAGUUCCCACCCUUAGGAGAAACUCUAGGGAAGAGGACCUGGAUCAGCAGAUCAUGCUGAGAAGUGGGGCUGGAGCGAGGAGGCUGUUCCUGCCUGGAGGAGAUCUAUGGAGGUAAGUCCCCCCACCCCCAGUGUGGAGGAUCAAACCCUGGGUCUUGUGAUGGUGGGCAAGUGCUCUACCACUGAACUAAACUCUACUCCCACCCCUGGAUGUAACUUUGGUGAGUAGAUGUGUUGAGGGAUUGGGGAACCCAUGGACUAGGUCCUGCUUCUACGGAUAAGGUGGCGAGUGGCAGGACAUAGUGAAGACUGAGAGGAGUGGCUACAAUGAGGGCCUCCCUGAGUGCUCAGGGGCUCAGAGGCCUUCUGUCCUCAGAGGGUUCUAGACCUAGGAUUCCUCUGCUGCAGUUGUUCUUAAUCCUUGGGUUCACAGACCAGGGUACAUGAAUACAGAGAUGAAUGGUGUGACUCUACCUUGUAUACAACCGGAGAAAUGAAAAAUUGUGCUCCAUUUGUGUACUAUGAAUUAAGAUGCAUUCUGAAGUCAUGUAUAACAAAUUAGAACAAACAAACAAAAAAAGUUAGUGAAAACUAAGAACCAUUUCAUAGAAAAAUACACAUGAUAGCCAGGCUUGGUGGCACAAAUCUAUAAUCCCAGAAACACAGGAGGCUGAGGUGGGAGGAUCACAAGUUUGAGUCCAGCGUCAGCAACUUAGUGAGGCCCUAAGCAACUUAGUAAGAUCUUGUAUCAAAAUAAAAAAUAAAAAAGGGGGGCUAGGGUUGUGGGUCAGUGGUAGAGUACUUGCCUAGCAUGUGUGAGCCCUGGGUUCAAUCCUUAGCACCACAUAAAAAUGAAUGAAUAUAAUAAAGCUAAAUAAAUAAAAAGGGAUGGAGAUAUAGCUUAGUGAUAAAGCAUCCCUGGGUUCAAAUCCUUGUACCAAAAAAAAAAAAGAAAGAAAAGAAAAAAAAUAUACAUAAAUUUUUGCAUGUUAGGAGAGUAGUUCACAGAUCUCCUGAAACUCAUCCAGGGAUUUUUAAAUGAAGAAACUUUGUCCCUAGGUUCAGAAGGGAUAACUCUAAUACUUUGAGUUUGGGACAAGCUAGGACUUUUCCUAGCAGGAGUACUUAAAAUGGAGGAACAGCCACUAGAUCUAAUCAUGGUAUGGUAUAGAGGCAGGGGUCCUGACUCAGAAGCUGACAAAGGAUGGUCAGUUUGUCUGGUAAGGAUGUUGUCAUAGCCUACAACAUCCUUCUGUCUCAAUUCAGCAGACAUCGGCUGGGGAGAAGUAGUGAUCUAGUGAUAGGUGAAGCAAUUGGAGUCCUCACUUAUGUGCAGAGUUUGGCAAUAGUCUGAGAAUCCAGCAUUGUAUCAGUCAGCUUUUCAUCACUAUAAGAAAAUUCCUGAGGCUACUAACUUUGUAAAGAGAAAAUGUUUAUGUAGAUGGAAGUUCUGGAGAUUCAAAGGCAUAACACUCACAGCAGCUCAGUUCUGGUGAGGGCCUCCUGGUGAAUGGUGGAUGGCAAUGAAGCGAACACAUCUCUAGUCAGAAGCAGAAAGCUGGGUGGGAGUCAGGCUUGCUCCUUUUAUAACAACUCUCUCUGGGAGAGCUACCAAAGGGGUCACAGAACUACGAAGGGGUCACAUGUGAAAUACCUUAUGCCCCCUGUGACUUAAGGACCUCCCACUAGGCUCUACCUCUUAAAGGUCCACCUCCCAAUAGUGCCACCCUUUAACACGUGAACCUUUGGGUGGGGACACAAUUAGAUCAUAACCAUGUGAUCUAAACCAUAUCUAAACUAUAGCAAGCAUAAAUGAGUUUGUCUUAAGGGGGGAAAUAGCUCAUAUUUAUUAAACACUUACUACAUGCCAGUUAAAUAGCUAAGUGAAUUACAUUAAUCUAAUUUAACUCCCAUUGACAGAUGUGGAAACAGAGGCUUAGGGUAAUUAAGUAACUUUCCAAGGUCACUCAGCUUGCAAAUGGUGAAGCUAAAAUUAAAAUUAUGGCCAUCUUAUAUUAGCCUGUCUUUGUCUGUCUGUCUUUGUCUCUCUCUCUUCCUCCUUCUUUCUCUCUGGUACUUUGCCACUGAGCUACAUCCCCAGUCCUUUUUAUUUUUUAUUGUGAGACAGGGUUUUCCUAAGUUGCUUAGGACCUCACUAAGUUGCUGAGGCUGGCCUUGAACUUGUCAUCUUUUUGCUUCAGGCUCCUGAAUCACUGGGAUUAAAGGCAUGUGCCACUGCACCCAGUUCACUAGUCUGACUCUUGACAAGGCAAUAAAGAGUGCCUGAGAGGUUGGAAAUACAUGCCUGGAGCCCACUGGCAAAUUUGGAUUAAUUGGAGCAGCGGCCAAAGGAGAGCAACUAGGGAUUUAGAGAGAUACUGGAACAGAAAUUUGGGGCUGGAAGUCAAGCCACAGCCCCAUUAUCAAAAUGAAGCAUCUCCCAGGCUCUGGGUUGCAGUGGGAAAUGGAUUGGUCUGAGAUAUGAGCAGCCGGGUGAUGUUGUCUGUGAGCAGAACUUGAGUCCAGGCUUGUCUAGGCAGUACCUGGUAUGCCACACUGGAACAGGAAGUCCUUGGGCUCUUUCUUUUUCUUCUCAGCAGGGAAAGGACUGGCUCCCUUGAGGAUGAGGGAGGAGCGGCAGUUUCACUGUAGGACUGAAGUUGAUUGUCCCAGGUCAACCAGGCUCCAGCUCUGGGAGGACAGGGCCUCUUAGGGUCCCAGGCAGCACCUGUCACAGUCCACACAUGUGCCCACUUCAUGCCUGUGAUUGAAUGUUGAUGGCUGAGCUCAUCCCUCACAACCCCUUGAUAAAAUCUAAGGGCACUUUCUAAAAUAGCUCCUCAGAGCCCAGAGGUUCUAAGCUAUGCCGUUUUCAGUCAGCGUGGACUCUGAAAAGCCUAUUCUCUUGCAAGCCAAAGAAACAGCCGGUUCAUCUCUCUCUCAAUGGACAGAAGAAGAACUCCACGGUUUACACAUCCUCCU